UCAAUGUAGACCUUGCUUGUGGUUAUUAACUUAUUAUGUACAUAUAAUCUAGCUUAUUGCUAAUUAGUUGAUUAAUUCCUUAGAAGGUUAGAGAUUAAUUUAGCUUCAGCUUCAGUUUCGAAAGGGUGAAGCAAGAGCAAGGUUCGAACAAUUCAACAAUCAUGUUUUGGUGAAGCCAGUUCAGAUUGAUCUUCAAGGAUGGUGAAUUCUAUAGACUGUAGCUUAGUAAUUUCAUUCUGUUUCUUUAAACAGAUUUUGAUAUCAAGCAACAAUUUUUUUGGUAGAAUGCUGAAAAUAGUUUUGAGUGUAUAUUUUACUCUGCUUCAAAUUGAUCUACCA
This 339-nucleotide long non-coding RNA is filed under the name Panax ginseng (ginseng). RNAcentral's name for it is "long non-coding RNA (PGIN_LNC008294)". The record is from RNAcentral. Lineage: Eukaryota; Viridiplantae; Streptophyta; Magnoliopsida; Apiales; Araliaceae.